UACGUAGGGUGCGAGCGUUGUCCGGAAUUAUUGGGCGUAAAGAGCUCGUAGGCGGUGUGUCACGUCGUUCGUGAAAACCUGCGGCUCAACCGUGUGGUCUGCAGUCGAUACGGGCAGGCUGGAGUUCGGUAGGGGAGACUGGAAUUCCUGGUGUAGCGGUGAAAUGCGCAGAUAUCAGGAGGAACACCAGUUGCGAAGGCGGCUGACUGGACACAUAUUGACGCUGAGGCUCGAAAGCAUGGGGAGCAAACAGG
This 254-nucleotide ribosomal RNA is filed under the name uncultured bacterium. RNAcentral describes it as "partial 16S ribosomal RNA". It matches the Rfam family "Bacterial small subunit ribosomal RNA", at positions 524 to 776 of the family's 1533-position model. The record is from RNAcentral.